Molecule: long non-coding RNA, 1430 nt
Filed under: Mytilus galloprovincialis (Mediterranean mussel)
Lineage: Eukaryota; Metazoa; Mollusca; Bivalvia; Mytilida; Mytilidae
Source: RNAcentral
AAGAUUUUAACUGAUUUACUCAUUAAAAACGCUCCGAUUCUAGCUUAAAUAUGAAAAAUCUAUCAAAUAUGCCAAAAACUGUCACUUUUCAAAUGGUUUUUGUUAAAAAUGAAAGUGGCCGCAUCAGUGUUCAUCCUCGACCUUUGCAUAUGUUAUGUAUUAUCAUCAAACACAACUUACAUUUCAAUAUCAAGAAUGAACACGAAUGCGGCCACUUUCAUUUAAGAGGGAAACCGUCUAAAAUUUAACUAAAAUGCUGAAAUUGUGGAGAUUUCAGUAAUUUAGCAUGACUUAAUGAUGCAAGUACCCGAUAUAUGUGCAUUGUAAUGCCAAAAACAGCCCAUAUUUAUGUAGCAGAGGCAUUAUACUUUCCAAUAAAUAACUAAAAGUUUACAUUUUAACAAUUUUGUAAAACUGCUAUAUUUUGGGGCCAAAAAGGGGUCUUACUGAACCUACUCCUUUUUUGUUUUCACAAAAUUUUAUUUGCACAAGCUGUUUGCCUGAAUGGAAUUAAUUUAACAUGUGCUACAGCAAAAACAACAUCGUAGAUUUGAUCAUUGAAAUCUCAGUAACAAUAGCGAAGUAUGUGGUCAAACUUUGAUAAAAUGAAGAUAAAUAUCACAGGUUGAGCGUCCAUUAACUUUUCGUAGAGUAAUAAGCAGUUUACCUUUAAUACGUGUGUGGAUAACGUAGGUUCAUUGAGUACGAAAAAUAUUUUGGCAUUGCAUCACUGUACAUGCUAUAUAUCAUGUUGACUUACAUUUGUACAUUCAGCAAUAUUUUUAAGCAAACGAGUGUUUUAAAAUGCUAUUUCUAUGAUCCACUGACUCAUUGAGCUUCAAAAACAGUUUUCGUUUAUGUUUUCCUGGCAAAAAUACUUGUAAAAGUAGCCUGUCAUUCACAAAGAUUUUGGCCGCCAUUUAUUUGUUUUUGGAAGAAGACAGAUUACUCAAGCUCAGUAAAGGACAACAACUCUUCAAGACAAAUUAUAUAAUAUUCCUCACCUUGACAAGUCAAUUGAAAAUAAAUUAACUGCAGAAAUAAUUGAUAGGACUUCUUUACUUUAUGACUUAACAUCCCUCCUGUAAUGCUUCAAUAUUUCCAAAAGUGAAUGAGAUGAAGCUUUCCAAUAAAAAUCUCAAAUAAAACAAAAGAAAAUGAAAGUGCAUUUUUAAAAGUAUUAAAUCCAUUGAAUUUCAAAUGAAUGUGAUCCCUGUCAUGUGGGUAGUUUAAUAUAAUAAAAAACAAGAAUGUGUCCAAAGUACACGGAUGCCCCACUCGCAUUAUCAUUUUCCAUGUUCAAUGGACCGUGAAAUUGGGUAAAAAAUCAAAUUUGGCCUGAAAAGUAAAAAGAUCAACCAAAAGCGAACAUGUGUACUAAGUUUCAAGUUGAUUGGACUUCAGCUUCAUCAAAAACUACCUUGACCAAA